This 484-nucleotide ribosomal RNA is filed under the name uncultured bacterium. RNAcentral describes it as "partial 16S ribosomal RNA". It matches the Rfam family "Bacterial small subunit ribosomal RNA", at positions 29 to 507 of the family's 1533-position model. The record is from RNAcentral.
AUUGAACGCUGGCGGCAUGCUUUACACAUGCAAGUCGAACGGCAGCGCGGGCUUCGGCCUGGAGGCGAGUGGCGAACGGGUGAGUAAUGCAUCGGAACGUGCCCAGUAGUGGGGGAUAGGCCGGCGAAAGGGGGAUUAAUACCGCAUACGACCUGAGGGUGAAAGGGGGGGACCGAAAGGCCUCGCGCUAUUGGAGCGGCCGAUGUCGGAUUAGCUAGUUGGUGGGGUAAAGGCUUACCAAGGCGACGAUCCGUAGCUGGUCUGAGAGGACGACCAGCCACACUGGAACUGAGACACGGCCCAGACUCCUACGGGAGGCAGCAGUGGGGAAUUUUGGACAAUGGGGGCAACCCUGAUCCAGCCAUGCCGCGUGCGUGAAGAAGGCCUUCGGGUUGUAAACCGCUUUUGUUCGGGAAGAAAUCCUCUGGGCUAAUACCCCGGGGGGAUGACGGUACCGGAAGAAUAAGCACCGGCUAACUACGUG